GACGAACGCUGGCGACGUGCUUAACACGUGCAAGUCGAGCGAUGAAGUUCCUUCGGGAAUGGAUUAGCGGCGGACGGGUGAGUAACACGUGGGUAACCUGCCUCAUAGAGGGGAAUAGCCUUUCGAAAGGAAGAUUAAUACCGCAUAAGAUUGUAGCUUCGCAUGAAGUAGCAAUUAAAGGAGUAAUCCGCUAUGAGAUGGACCCGCGUCGCAUUAGCUAGUUGGUGAGGUAACGGCUCACCAAGGCGACGAUGCGUAGCCGACCUGAGAGGGGGAUCGGCCACAUUGGGACUGAGACACGGCCCAGACUCCUACGGGAGGCAGCAGUGGGGAAUAUUGCACAAUGGGGGAAACCCUGAUGCAGCAACGCCGCGUGAGUGAUGACGGUCUUCGGAUUGUAAAGCUCUGUCUUCAGGGACGAUAAUGACGGUACCUGAGGAGGAAGCCACGGCUAACUACGUGCCAGCCGCCGCCGAAA
RNAcentral lists this ribosomal RNA (478 nucleotides) under uncultured bacterium. RNAcentral describes it as "partial 16S ribosomal RNA". It matches the Rfam family "Bacterial small subunit ribosomal RNA", at positions 28 to 523 of the family's 1533-position model. The record is from RNAcentral.